This 253-nucleotide ribosomal RNA is filed under the name uncultured bacterium. RNAcentral describes it as "partial 16S ribosomal RNA". It matches the Rfam family "Bacterial small subunit ribosomal RNA", at positions 524 to 776 of the family's 1533-position model. The record is from RNAcentral.
UACGAAGGGGGCUAGCGUUGUUCGGAAUCACUGGGCGUAAAGCGCACGCAGGCGGAUCGAUAAGUCGGGGGUGAAAGACCGGGGCUCAACCUCGGAAUUUCCUUCGAUACUGUCGGUCUCGAGUCCGGGAGAGGUGAGUGGAAGUCCUAGUGUAGAGGUGAAAUUCGUAGAUAUUAGGAAGAACACCAGUGGCGAAGGCGGCUCACUGGCCCGGUACUGACGCUCAGGUGCGAAAGCGUGGGGAGCAAACAGG